RNAcentral lists this unclassified non-coding RNA (388 nucleotides) under uncultured Ascomycota. RNAcentral's name for it is "sequence contains ITS2". The stretch from base 1 to 154 matches the Rfam family "5.8S ribosomal RNA". Lineage: Eukaryota; Fungi; Ascomycota. The record is from RNAcentral.
AACUUUUGACAACGGAUCACUUGGCUCCGGCAUCGAUGAAGAACGCAGCGAAAUGCGAUAACUAGUGUGAAUUGCAGAUUUCAGUGAAUCAUCGAGUCUUUGAACGCACAUUGCGCCCCUUGGUAUUCCUAGGGGCAUGCCUAUUCGAGCGUCGUUUCCACCUUCAAGCGCAAGCUUGGUGUUGGGGAUCGCCCCUGUAACAAGGCGGCGGCCCUUGAAUCCAUCGGCGGUGCCGGUGUGGCCUGAAGCGCAGCAGCAAUGCAGCUUUGAAAGCCCAUCGAUGCCCGCCGCGAAAGCAGCAGCCCUCGCGGCCUGCAUUUUUUAAACGUCGACCUCGAAUUAGGUAGGGAUACCCGCUGAACUUAAGCAUAUCAAUAAGCCGGAGGCU